AUUGAACGCUGGCGGCACGCUUAACACAUGCAAGUCGAGCGGUAGCAUGAGUAGUAGCGAUACUACUUGAUGACGAGCGGCGGACGGGUGAGUAACACGUAGGAACUUGCCCAAUAGAGGGGGACAACUAAGGGAAACUUUAGCUAAUACCGCAUAUACUCGAGAGAGGAAAGCUGCCGGAAGGUGGCGCUAUUGGAGAGGCCUGCGUCUGAUUAGCUAGUUGGUGAGGUAAAGGCUCACCAAGGCGAUGAUCAGUAACUGGUCUGAGAGGACGACCAGUCACACUGGGACUGAGACACGGCCCAGACUCCUACGGGAGGCAGCAGUGGGGAAUCUUGGACAAUGGGGGCAACCCUGAUCCAGCGAUGCCGCGUGAGUGAAGAAGGCCUUCGGGUCGUAAAGCUCUUUAGGUUGGGAGGAAGGUUGGUAUUUUAAGAGAUAACCAAUUUGACUGUACCGACAGAAUAAGCACCGGCAAACUCUGUGCCAGCCGCCGCCGUAA
RNAcentral lists this ribosomal RNA (502 nucleotides) under uncultured bacterium. Its description in RNAcentral is "partial 16S ribosomal RNA". It matches the Rfam family "Bacterial small subunit ribosomal RNA", at positions 30 to 523 of the family's 1533-position model. The record is from RNAcentral.